CAGCUGGCGACUGGUCUCCCCGGCUGGCCCGGUAGAUUGCAAGCGACCCAAGAGGGCAGCUCCUUUCUAUUGCAGAAAUGUGUGGAGUUUGGCAGGAAUGCCCGUCCCCGCAGCAUUUGACCACAAGAGUCUCUUUGAUGAAACAUGAGCUGGUCUGGGAUCAUUGCCUGGGGGUCUUGGAGGACAGUUCCACUGCCAUCGUGAAUCUCAUUCCAAGAGAAGUCUAUGGACCAAGACAGUUGGAUGAACAUUGGAUACAACCACCCCAGCUAUUGUGGAAGGAAAGCUCCAACUAUUUCUCUGUUGCUCUCUUGAAAUCAAAGAGAAAGAGAGGCAGGCCCCUUUUCCAAAGACAAUGAAAGGAACCAGGCACGGAAGAAGGAGAAGGAUAAAGGCAAGUAAGUAUUUGCAGGUGUAAAGGAGCUUUUAAAUAUUUACUGCAAUAUUUUGCUGAACAUGCAAGUCUCCUUCAGUUUUGUUCCUCGCUUCCUAAUGCAGAAUAAAGCCUUAUGUAGUCUGUGAGCCCUAUGGGGAAGGAAGGACGUUUUUUAAUUCUGUAAAAACUGCUGUCUCACCCAAAACCCACAAGGCAGGGUAAGUCAAACCUCCCCUCCUGCUAGUAUCUCUCUGUUAUUUCACAACCAGGGAGCUGCCAGCGGGCGGGCGCAGGGGAGAUUAAAGGGGGUGGGGACCAGCUCACAAACAGCCAGCGACAGAUGAAGAAGACGCCGAGAGCCAACCCAUGACCAGCAGCUGCACUUUAUGGACAGUGGACUCAUCCAUAAAGUAGAAAGCACUACUAAACGCUCGUGUCCAAGUGUAGUGUUUCCUACUUUAUGGAUGAGUGUACUGUGAGCAACGGAGGCAACAAGGAGGAGCGGAGACUGGCACAAGACCAGGGAAAGGGUGGAGGGCAGGGGAAGGCGGAAAUGCCACGUGGCCGUAGACAGGAGGGCAUCAUGGUUGAACACACACACAGCCGGACUGUCACUCAAAUACAGAUGCAUCUCUUUCCCCAAAAUAUAGUACAUGACACUCCCAACAAUAAUGCUUGUAACAUGUGACUCAUAACUGAAUCUAAGUAGGAGGUAGGGGUGGAGAACAAGACCUGGAGGGAAAGGCCCAUUUAUUGGCAUCAACUAAUGAUGCUCUGAAGUUAUUCUGCCAAUACCCUCUUUCCAACUUUGCUACAAUCUGUGCAUGAUACCUUCUACCCUGCCACACACCCCUACCUGAAUAUGCUUUUAGAAAGUAGAAGGGUUUGGGAAUUUGCUGGGGGCAGAGAAGGGGGUGAGUAAAAUAUCACAUGAUGCUUGGUACAUGUAUAUGGAAGCUGGCCAUACAUGUGCAAACACCCCAUGACCAACAUACCCUUAAAGACCUUCGUUGUUUGGGUAACUGUCUGAAGGUCACUAGCUGUGAUUAUGUGCUUAAAAGGAGAGGGGACAGGUAUUACAGGAUGUACUGUAUGACCACUUGCAUUACGAAAAUAAACUUUCAACACAGUU
Molecule: non-coding RNA, 1508 nt
Organism: Podarcis muralis (Common wall lizard)
Lineage: Eukaryota; Metazoa; Chordata; Lepidosauria; Squamata; Lacertidae
Source: RefSeq, a predicted model, not a curated record